ACCCUUGUAACUUAAUGGCAAAGUAGCGGCCUCUUAAGCCGACAACCGAGGUUCGAUUCCUCGUAGGGGUA
This 71-nucleotide transfer RNA is filed under the name Porticoccus sp. RNAcentral's name for it is "tRNA-Lys". It matches the Rfam family "tRNA". From Rfam's summary of the family: Transfer RNA (tRNA) molecules are approximately 80 nucleotides in length. Lineage: Bacteria; Pseudomonadati; Pseudomonadota; Gammaproteobacteria; Cellvibrionales; Porticoccaceae. The record is from RNAcentral.